UUUGUACUCCCUCCGUCUAGAAUUACUCGUCGAAGAAAUAGAUAAAAAUGGAUGUAUCUGAAACUAAAAUACAUCUAGAUACAUUCAUUCCCCCGACAAGUAUUUCCGGACGGAGGGAGUAUUAA
Non-coding RNA from Triticum aestivum (bread wheat), 125 nucleotides. The record is from Rfam. NCBI's taxonomy places the organism in Eukaryota, Viridiplantae, Streptophyta, Magnoliopsida, Poales, Poaceae.